AACGUCACAAAUGCUGGAAUUAUAAAUGAAACUUCGUCAAAUUUGUGAUAAAGGCUCUACGUCCUUAAUCCCUUUGUAGAUCUAUUAUCUAUGGUCCUUAAUAUUUUUAAUGGCUUACAAGCCCAGCCUAUUUCUAUAAAACGUCAAUGAUAUAACCGAUUUCUGUAAUUUUGAGUUUUGAUCUUUUGUGUGAAACAUUUUUCGUGGUAAAAAUACUUAAUUACUUAAUUUGGUUUAGUUUAUCAAAAAAAGGUGCUUACACUAUAUCAAGCAAUUAGUGCUGUUUUGGGGCUUCUUUCUGCCCAUGUUUAUAAUAAGCAUAGCAUCCAGAGUGAACAUUAAUGGUAGGAACGAUUGUAUGGUGCAAAGUAGGACUGUGACCAGUAUGGACACAAACAAAUGGAAUCAUUAGGAAAAUUGCACAAACUUUGGACAUCAUGUGUAAUUGUUCUGUGACAGUAGCAGUCUGUAUUUCAUCCCAGUAUGGAGUAGUAUCCUUUUAUUCAAUGAAAUAAAAAACAACAAGGGAGCAUAAAGCUUGGGAUGACAUGUUUGAUGAAACAUUGGUUUCUCUUUCACUCAAAAAAGUAGCAGUACCUACAUUCCCGAUGAAAGCAUGAUGAUGUCUUUUUUUUUCCAUUGUGAAUGAAGACAAUGUGUUACUGUUAAAGGAAGGAUUUAUGAUAUGAAUUAAUGGGCUAACAAAUAAGAGAGAUUGGGAUGUUAAGUUUAACCGUAACGAUGACGAUAUGGGAUGUCUGCACUGGUAUCCUUUCUGAAUUUGGUUUACAUUCCACACAUGUAAACGUUGGAACGUUACAUUCUACAGCUAAUUCAGAUUGGCCAACAAUUGAGAGAGAUUGGAACUGGUAUCCUUUGCUCACUGAAAAGAUAAGUCGUCUCCUGUGGUGUUUUAGCUGUUAACUUUUCAUCUUGGAGGCUCUUAUAGUUAAUUAAGGUGAGCAUACAUGCUAUAUUAUACAUAUCUGGUAUAUUUAUUAGAUAUUAACAGAGAAAAGAGUUCAGCAUUACUUUAACACUGUAUCCUGCACGUUAUUUACUUAAAAUUAAAUUAAUUAUAUCUGAAUUAUGUAGUUUUUUCCAGGGUGACGGUCAAAUAAU
This is a long non-coding RNA of Agrilus planipennis (emerald ash borer), 1122 nucleotides long. RefSeq lists it as uncharacterized. NCBI's taxonomy places the organism in Eukaryota, Metazoa, Arthropoda, Insecta, Coleoptera, Buprestidae. The transcript is spliced from 6 exons. The record is from RefSeq and is a predicted model, not a curated record.